Molecule: non-coding RNA, 29 nt
Filed under: Rattus norvegicus (Norway rat)
Lineage: Eukaryota; Metazoa; Chordata; Mammalia; Rodentia; Muridae
Source: RNAcentral
UCUCAACGGGGAUUGACCGGACAAGAAAG